Molecule: ribosomal RNA, 328 nt
Filed under: uncultured Bacteroidota bacterium
Lineage: Bacteria; Pseudomonadati; Bacteroidota
Description: bacterial SSU rRNA
Rfam family: Bacterial small subunit ribosomal RNA
Source: RNAcentral
GAUGAACGCUAGCGGGAGGCUUAACACAUGCAAGUCGAGGGGCAGCACGAGGUAGCAAUACUUUGGUGGCGACCGGCGCACGGGUGAGUAACGCGUAUGCAACCUGCCCUGUACUGGGAGAUAACCCGGAGAAAUUCGGACUAAUAUCCCAUAAUGAUAUUUGGAGGCAUCUUUGAAUAUUUAAAGUUCCGACGGUACGGGAUGGGCAUGCGUAACAUUAGCUAGUUGGUAAGGUAACGGCUUACCAAGGCUUUGAUGUUUAGGGGUCCUGAGAGGGUGAUCCCCCACACUGGUACUGAGACACGGACCAGACACCUACGGGUGGCAG